UAAAACCUAUUUAAAAUGGCGGCAUUUCAUCUUAUUAAAGGAAUCUGUUUUAUAAUCGAUAAUCCACGAUAAUUUUCACUCAAAUUAAAAAUUUAUAUACCGCCGUCUAAAGAAUUAAUUUAAUAAUAUUAUUCUAAAUAAUAAAUAAAAAGUUAGGUCAAGGUGUAAUCUACAUUUUAGUAAAAAAUGGAUUACAUUAAAAAAAAUUUAAGGAUAUAUAAAUAAAAAUUUACAUUAAAAAAGGAUUCAAAAGUAAUAUUUAAAAUAAUAUUUUAAUAUG
RNAcentral lists this ribosomal RNA (280 nucleotides) under Trochosa expolita. RNAcentral describes it as "partial 12S ribosomal RNA". The record is from RNAcentral. Lineage: Eukaryota; Metazoa; Arthropoda; Arachnida; Araneae; Lycosidae.